RNAcentral lists this ribosomal RNA (465 nucleotides) under uncultured Rhodococcus sp. Its description in RNAcentral is "bacterial SSU rRNA". It matches the Rfam family "Bacterial small subunit ribosomal RNA", at positions 916 to 1381 of the family's 1533-position model. The record is from RNAcentral. Lineage: Bacteria; Bacillati; Actinomycetota; Actinomycetes; Mycobacteriales; Nocardiaceae.
GACGGGGCCCGCACAAGCGGCGGAGCAUGUGGAUAAUUCGAUGCAACGCGAAGAACCUUACCUGGUUUGACAUAUACCGGAAAGCUGCAGAGAUGUGGCCCCCCUUGUGGUCGGUAUACAGGUGGUGCAUGGCUGUCGUCAGCUCGUGUCGUGAGAUGUGGUUAAGUCCCGCAACGAGCGCAACCCCUAUCUUAUGUUGCCAGCACGUUAUGGUGGGGACUCGUAAGAGACUGCCGGGGUCAACUCGGAGGAAGGUGGGGACGACGUCAAGUCAUCAUGCCCCUUAUGUCCAGGGCUUCACACAUGCUACAAUGGCCAGUACAGAGGGCUGCGAGACCGUGAGGUGGAGCGAAUCCCUUAAAGCUGGUCUCAGUUCGGAUCGGGGUCUGCAACUCGACCCCGUGAAGUCGGAGUCGCUAGUAAUCGCAGAUCAGCAACGCUGCGGUGAAUACGUUCCCGGGCCUU